GCUAAUACCGGAUAAUAUUUUGAACCGCAUGGUUCAAAAGUGAAAGACGGUCUUGCUGUCACUUAUAGAUGGAUCCGCGCUGCAUUAGCUAGUUGGUAAGGUAACGGCUUACCAAGGCAACGAUGCAUAGCCGACCUGAGAGGGUGAUCGGCCACACUGGAACUGAGACACGGUCCAGACUCCUACGGGAGGCAGCAGUAGGGAAUCUUCCGCAAUGGGCGAAAGCCUGACGGAGCAACGCCGCGUGAGUGAUGAAGGUCUUCGGAUCGUAAAACUCUGUUAUUAGGGAAGAACAUAUGUGUAAGUAACUGUGCACAUCUUGACGGUACCUAAUCAGAAAGCCACGGCUAACUACGUGCCAGCAGCCGCGGUAAUACGUAGGUGGCAAGCGUUAUCCGGAAUUAUUGGGCGUAAAGCGCGCGUAGGCGGUUUUUUAAGUCUGAUGUGAAAGCCCACGGCUCAACCGUGGAGGGUCAUUGGAAACUGGAAAACUUGAGUGCAGAAGAGGAAAGUGGAAUUCCAUGUGUAGCGGUGAAAUGCGCAGAGAUAUGGAGGAACACCAGUGGCGAAGGCGACUUUCUGGUCUGUAACUGACGCUGAUGUGCGAAAGCGUGGGGAUCAAACAGGAUUAGAUACCCUGGUAGUCCACGCCGUAAACGAUGAGUGCUAAGUGUUAGGGGGUUUCCGCCCCUUAGUGCUGCAGCUAACGCAUUAAGCACUCCGCCUGGGGAGUACGACCGCAAGGUUGAAACUCAAAGGAAUUGACGGGGACCCGCACAAGCGGUGGAGCAUGUGGUUUAAUUCGAAGCAACGCGAAGAACCUUACCAAAUCUUGACAUCCUUUGACAACUCUAGAGAUAGAGCCUUCCCCUUCGGGGGACAAAGUGACAGGUGGUGCAUGGUUGUCGUCAGCUCGUGUCGUGAGAUGUUGGGUUAAGUCCCGCAACGAGCGCAACCCUUAGCUUAGUUGCCAUCAUUAAGUUGGGCACUCUAAGUUGACUGCCGGUGACAAACCGGAGGAAGGUGGGGAUGACGUCAAAUCAUCAUGCCCCUUAUGAUUUGGGCUACACACGUGCUACAAUGGACAAUACAAAGGGCAGCGAAACCGCGAGGUCAAGCAAAUCCCAUAAAGUUGUUCUCAGUUCGGAUUGUAGUCUGCAACUCGACUAUCAUGAAGCUGGAAUCGCUAGUAAUCGUAGAUCAGCAUGCUACGGUGAAUACGUUCCCGGGUCUUGUACACACCGCCCGUCACACCACGAGAGUUUGUAACACCC
Molecule: ribosomal RNA, 1274 nt
Filed under: Staphylococcus aureus
Lineage: Bacteria; Bacillati; Bacillota; Bacilli; Caryophanales; Staphylococcaceae
Description: bacterial SSU rRNA
Rfam family: Bacterial small subunit ribosomal RNA
Source: RNAcentral